GGACCUGUGUAUGUGAUCUGGCUGCGACAUCUGUCACCCCACUGAUCGCCAGGGUUGAUUUGGCUGAUCUGGCUGGGUAGGCGGGUGUCCCCUUCCUCACCGCUCCAUGUGUGUCCCUCCUGAAGCUGUGAGCCAUUAAAGAGGACAGCCUUCCCCGAAUAGAGACAGACUGGUCGAGGGUAUACGAGUAGCUACACUCCCCUCCAAACAAGCUCUCAAGGACCUCAUGCUUUAUCCACUACACACCUCCCAACUUUCUUUCCUACCAGGGUUAGUGCUGGGGCUUGGUGCCAGUAACUGUGAAUC
Molecule: unclassified non-coding RNA, 306 nt
Organism: Erinaceus europaeus (western European hedgehog)
Lineage: Eukaryota; Metazoa; Chordata; Mammalia; Eulipotyphla; Erinaceidae
Gene: 7SK
Rfam family: 7SK RNA
About the family: 7SK was discovered as an abundant small nuclear RNA in the mid-70s but a possible function has only recently been suggested. Two independent studies have found that 7SK RNA binds the CDK9/cyclin T complex (known as elongation factor P-TEFb).
Source: Ensembl